GCCCGAGUUGUAAUUUGCAGAGGAUGUUUCGGGUGAAGCCACGGUCCAAGUCCCUUGGAACAGGACGUCAUAGAGGGUGAGAACCCCGUACCUGGCCGUCGGUGCCCCCCGCUGUGAAACUCCUUCGACGAGUCGAGUUGUUUGGGAAUGCAGCUCUAAAUUGGUGGUAAAUUCCAUCUAAAGCUAAAUACCGGCCAGAGACCGAUAGCGCACAAGUAGAGUGAUCGAAAGAUGAAAAGCACUUUGAAAAGAGAGUUAAAAAGUACGUGAAAUUGUUGAAAGGGAAGCGCUUGCGGCCAGACUUGCCCGCGGUUGCUCAGCCCGCCUUUUGGCGGGUGCACUCUUCCGCGGUCAGGCCAGCAUCGGUUUGGGCGGCCGGAUAAAGGCGCCGGGAACGUGGCCUCCCCUCGGGGAGGUGUUAUAGCCCGGCGUGCAAUGCGGCCAGCCCGGACCGAGGUUCGCGCUCUGCUAGGAUGCUGGCGUAAUGGCCGUAAGCGGCCCGUCUUGAAACACGGACCAAGGAGUCUAACAUCUAUGCGAGUGUUUGGGUGUCAAACCCGUGCGCGUAAUGAAAGUGAACGGAGGUGGGAACCGCAAGGUGCACCAUCGACCGAUCCUGAUGUCUUCGGAAGGAUUUGAGUAAGAGCAUAGCUGUUGGGACCCGAAAGAUGGUGAACUAUGCGUGAAUAGGGUGAAGCCAGAGGAAACUCUGGUGGAGGCUCGCAGCGGUUCUGACGUGCAAAUCGAUCGUCAA
This 754-nucleotide ribosomal RNA is filed under the name Venturia pyrina. RNAcentral's name for it is "partial large subunit ribosomal RNA". It matches the Rfam family "Eukaryotic large subunit ribosomal RNA", at positions 136 to 908 of the family's 3401-position model. The record is from RNAcentral. Lineage: Eukaryota; Fungi; Ascomycota; Dothideomycetes; Venturiales; Venturiaceae.